CCUACGGGUGGCAGCAGUCGAGAAUCAUUCACAAUGGGGGAAACCCUGAUGGUGCGACGCCGCGUGGGGGAAUGAAGGUCUUCGGAUUGUAAACCCCUGUCAUGUGGGAGCAAAUUAAAAAGAUAGUACCACAAGAGGAAGAGACGGCUAACUCUGUGCCAGCAGCCGCGGUAAUACAGAGGUCUCAAGCGUUGUUCGGAAUCACUGGGCGUAAGGCGUGCGUAGGCUGUUUCGAAAGUCGUGUGUGAAAGGCGCGGGCUCAACCCGCGGACGGCACAUGAUACUGCGAGACUAGAGUAAUGGAGGGGGAACCGGAAUUCUCGGUGUAGCAGGGAAAUGCGUAGAUAUCGAGAGGAACACUCGUGGCGAAGGCGGGUUCCUGGACAUUAACUGACGCUGAGGCACGAAGGCCAGGGGAGCGAAAGGGAUUAGAUACCCGGGUAGUC
Molecule: ribosomal RNA, 446 nt
Filed under: uncultured bacterium
Lineage: Bacteria
Description: partial 16S ribosomal RNA
Rfam family: Bacterial small subunit ribosomal RNA
Source: RNAcentral